This 345-nucleotide ribosomal RNA is filed under the name Triticum aestivum (bread wheat). RNAcentral's name for it is "partial small subunit ribosomal RNA". Lineage: Eukaryota; Viridiplantae; Streptophyta; Magnoliopsida; Poales; Poaceae. The record is from RNAcentral.
GUGGGUUUCUCCUGGAAGAUAGGCAAUGGUAGAAAAGUUAGAUUCUGGGAGGACCACUGGUUUGGCAAUGCCACGUUGACUACCCAGUAUUGGGAGUUGUAUAAUUUAGCCAAUGAGCACAAUGUCGCUAUUGACAAAAUCUGGGUGGAAAACACUCUUAAAAUUUCUUUCAGGAGAUGUUUCACCCAAGAGCUUAUGAGUCUGUGGCAUGAGCUGCUUGAGAUAACUAAGUCUAUUGUGUAUACGGAUGUGGAGGAUUCCCUGGUUUGGAAUAUGAACUCCAAGGGAGUUUACACGGUCAAAUCCUUCUAUAAAUUUGUUAACUUACAGAGGAGUGCUGCCUAG